Molecule: ribosomal RNA, 301 nt
Filed under: uncultured bacterium
Lineage: Bacteria
Description: partial 16S ribosomal RNA
Rfam family: Bacterial small subunit ribosomal RNA
Source: RNAcentral
CAGUAGCCACGGGAAUACGUAGGUGGCAAGCGUUGUCCGGAAUUAUUGGGCGUAAAGGGCUCGCAGGCGGUUUCUUAAGUCUGAUGUGAAAGCCCCCGGCUCAACCGGGGAGGGUCAUUGGAAACUGGGAAACUUGAGUGCAGAAGAGGAGAGUGGAAUUCCACGUGUAGCGGUGAAAUGCGUAGAGAUGUGGAGGAACACCAGUGGCGAAGGCGACUCUCUGGUCUGUAACUGACGCUCAUGCACGAAAGCGUGGGGAGCAAACAGGAUUAGAUACCCGGGUAGUCCCUGUCUCUUAUAA